AUUGAACGCUGGCGGCAGGCCUAACACAUGCAAGUCGAGCGGUAGCACAGAGAGCUUGCUCUCGGGUGACGAGCGGCGGACGGGUGAGUAAUGUCUGGGAAACUGCCUGAUGGAGGGGGAUAACUACUGGAAACGGUAGCUAAUACCGCAUAAUGUCGCAAGACCAAAGUGGGGGACCUUCGGGCCUCAUGCCAUCAGAUGUGCCCAGAUGGGAUUAGCUAGUAGGUGGGGUAAUGGCUCACCUAGGCGACGAUCCCUAGCUGGUCUGAGAGGAUGACCAGCCACACUGGAACUGAGACACGGUCCAGACUCCUACGGGAGGCAGCAGUGGGGAAUAUUGCACAAUGGGCGCAAACCUGAUGCAGCCAUGCCGCGUGUGUGAAGAAGGCCUUCGGGUUGUAAAGCACUUUCAGCGGGGAGGAAGGCGAUAAGGUUAAUAACCUUGUCGAUUGACGUUACCCGCAGAAGAAGCACCGGCUAACUCCGUGCCAGCAGCCGCGGUAAUACGGAGGGUGCAAGCGUUAAUCGGAAUUACUGGGCGUAAAGCGCGCGCAGGCGGUCUGUCAAGUCGGAUGUGAAAUCCCCGGGCUCAACCUGGGAACUGCAUUCGAAACUGGCAGGCUAGAGUCUUGUAGAGGGGGGUAGAAUUCCAGGUGUAGCGGUGAAAUGCGUAGAGAUCUGGAGGAAUACCGGUGGCGAAGGCGGCCCCCUGGACAAAGACUGACGCUCAGGUGCGAAAGCGUGGGGAGCAAACAGGAUUAGAUACCCUGGUAGUCCACGCCGUAAACGAUGUCGAUUUGGAGGUUGUGCCCUUGAGGCGUGGCUUCCGGAGCUAACGCGUUAAAUCGACCGCCUGGGGAGUACGGCCGCAAGGUUAAAACUCAAAUGAAUUGACGGGGGCCCGCACAAGCGGUGGAGCAUGUGGUUUAAUUCGAUGCAACGCGAAGAACCUUACCUGGUCUUGACAUCCACAGAACUUUCCAGAGAUGGAUUGGUGCCUUCGGGAACUGUGAGACAGGUGCUGCAUGGCUGUCGUCAGCUCGUGUUGUGAAAUGUUGGGUUAAGUCCCGCAACGAGCGCAACCCUUAUCCUUUGUUGCCAGCGGUUAGGCCGGGAACUCAAAGGAGACUGCCAGUGAUAAACUGGAGGAAGGUGGGGAUGACGUCAAGUCAUCAUGGCCCUUACGACCAGGGCUACACACGUGCUACAAUGGCAUAUACAAAGAGAAGCGACCUCGCGAGAGCAAGCGGACCUCACAAAGUAUGUCGUAGUCCGGAUUGGAGUCUGCAACUCGACUCCAUGAAGUCGGAAUCGCUAGUAAUCGUAGAUCAGAAUGCUACGGUGAAUACGUUCCCGGGCCU
Molecule: ribosomal RNA, 1361 nt
Filed under: uncultured bacterium
Lineage: Bacteria
Description: bacterial SSU rRNA
Rfam family: Bacterial small subunit ribosomal RNA
Source: RNAcentral